AGUUCUUGAUGCUCUAUUGAACACAAGCGGGAGGGCGGAGUCCGUUUUAAAGCGUCUUGUCACGGAGGAACCACUAUCGAACCCAGGAAUACUUUUUAACCACUUCAAAUGUAGUUUUUGUUGUUGUUUGCACUCAUACGGACUGCGUCGUGGAUUCUUACAGCACAUUUAAAACCCAUUUAUUCGACACAACGAGGAGUUUCCACUCAAAUACCGGACAGUGAAACUAACAAACCCACUACCGAUUUAAACAUCUGAGUGCAGAUUAAUUCGGCAACGGCCGUUUGGAUUCAGUCUGUAAGUGCAGCUGAAGGCUCCACACUGUUAGGUCAGGAUGAAAAGAUUCAGGCGACAUGGCCAGGAGUCCCAGAGAGACAGACUCAAACAGGAACUUUACCAGUUCAACAAGACUGUGGAGCAUGGCUUCCCCCACCAGCCCAGCGCCCUGGGCUACAGUCCAUCUCUCCAGCUGGUGGCCAUCGGUACACGUUCUGGAGCCAUCAAAUUAUAUGGAGCCCCAGGUGUGGAGUUCAUGGGUCUCCAUGAUGAGAAUGCCGCAGUCACACAAAUACACUUUCUCCCCCACCAGGUUGAACUGGUGACUCUACUGGAUGACAACAGUUUGCACAUGUGGACUUUGAGAGCCCACACAGGACUUUCAGAACUUCUAGAGAUAGGACGCUUCACUCUCACUGGUCCACCUGGUGCCCCACCAAGUGUGACCAGAGUGACAGCAGUCUUGGCCCACUCUUCUGGGGAGUUGUUGCUGCUGGGAACUGAGGGGGGGCAUGUCUUUAUUGUUCAGGUCCCUGGCUUCAGAGAGCUCGAAGAGAGGAACAUCAGCCUUGCUGAAGUUGCCAACAGUGUACCAGAUGAUUAUGUAGGGCAUAGAAGUUUAGAACAUGUUGAAGCCCUACAGGAGAACCCGGCUAACCCAAAUCACGUUGCUAUUGGUUAUGGACGAGGUCUUAUUGUCAUCUGGGAUCUUGAGAAACGGUGUGCUAUCCAGCACUUUCCGGCUACUCAGCAACUGGAAAGUGUGUGGUGGACAGAGGAUAGAGAUUACAUUCUUAGUUCCCACAGUGAUGGAAGCUAUUGUCGUUGGACAUUUGGGGAGGAGGAUGGAAAUGAGGUGGAGAAAUCAGAUAUUCCUUAUGGGCAUUUCCCAUGCAAAGCGAUUUCUAAAAUAAUUCAGCUGCAAACAAAGGAGGGGACACCAUUCCUCAUCUUCAGUGGUGGCAUGCCCAGGGCCAGCUUUGGGGACAGGCACUGCAUUACUGUCAUCCAUAAUAAAACACAUGUCGCCUUGGACUUCACCUCCAGGAUCAUUGACUUCUUCGUCAUCAAAGAUGGACAACUUCAAAGUGGGGAUCCGAACACAUUAGUGGUCUUGGUUGAAGAGGAGUUGGUAGCGAUUGACCUGGAGGAAGAGGGAUGGCCAGUCAUUCAGACACCUUACUUGGUUCCACUCCACAGUUCAGCAAUCACCUGCUCUCACCAUGUCUCUGCUAUCCCUCUCAAACUGUGGGAGAGAAUUCUUGCUGCUGGAGAGCUACAAAAGACAAGUUACUCAAAAAAGCCAUGGCCAAUAACCGGAGGGCAGAACUUGGCCCCAGAUCCUCCACAGAGAGAUCUCUUGCUCACAGGGCAUGAGGAUGGAACUGUGCGCUUCUGGGAUGCCUCAGGAGUCUGUCUGUAUCCCAUGUACAAAUUGAGCACGGCUGGAGUCUUCCACACAGACACUGACCCCAAUGACAACAUGCAGCAAGGUGCUGAAGGAGAAUGGCCACCAUUCAGAAAGGUUGGCUGCUUUGACCCCUACAGUGAUGAUCCACGGCUUGGUAUUCAGAAGAUCCACCUAUGUAAAUACAGUGGUUAUCUUGCAGUGGCAGGAACAGCUGGACAGAUUCUGGUGCUGGAGCUCAAUGACGAGGCAGCAGAACAGACUGUGGAAGCGAAAGUUGUGGAUUUGCUGCUAGGCCAAGAAGGAUUCCGCUGGAAGCCCUUCCCAAAUUGGUCACGUGAUACAGCCGGGCAGCGAGGCUUCGGACGUCAUCACUUUCAGCUCCUCCCCGAAAUGACGCAAGCCUCGAUACACGCUUUGCUGAAACACCCCUUCCAUUACCAGACACGUGCCUCGAAGACUCGUCACAUCUUGUAACAUCACUAAAUAAAAGGUAGACUUGAAGUGUCUGUUAUUUGGAACUAUACAACUGAAGGUGUAUUUUCUUCUCUUGAAGCCAUUCUGUUGUUAAAUUACUUCUGUGCUUUAGGUCGUUGCCCUGAUGCGUCACCCGUCUUCUAUUAAGCUUCAAUUAGCUGACAGAUGGCCUUAAGCUCCACUCAUACUGUUGUGUGUUCCUUCCAAACAUCUCAACUUUGGUUUUAUCUGUCCACACAAUAGUUUGCUAGGAGCACUAUAGGUGAGGUAUACCUAUGAUGUAAAUUACAAGCCUCUCUCAUCUUUUUAAGUGGGAGAACUUGCACAAUUAGUGGCUGGCUUGAAUACGUUGUACAAAAGCCAUUGUUUGCAAUGACAGCUUCAAGAUGCCUCCUGUAUGGAGAAACUAGUCACAUGCUUUCCUCAAGUGUGAUUUUGGCCCCUUCCUCCACACAAGCCAUCUGCCACCCAAAAAAAAGGUCAUAGUCCGCCAAACGUGAGUCCAUGUUAAGCACCCACUGCGAGCAAUAACAGGCGAGGGCACCAGGAGAAGGGCGAAGAAGGUGGGGACCUGAGAGAUGGAGGGGUGGUGGGGGGGGGGGGGGGGUACAGACCCCUGGAGUCAAGCCAAGAGAAAUGCACCCACUCUAUUACUAUGGUUACCAGGUCCCCGACUGUCAACCAUUAUCCCUGUACCGUCAUGGGGCGUUGAUGACCCGCAACCGUCAUCCCCACCCAGGCCAACCAACUCCCCAUAGGAUGUGAGAAUGUGGUGCAUUAAAAAUCAGUGGGGGAAAGGCAUGGCGGACCAGAGAGCAGCCUGGAGUGCUGGAACACCUGGCCAAGUGUCUUCCCCAGCCCGACACUGCAUUGACGGCUGUAUGAUGUAUUAAAACUGGAGGACCAGCAGGGCAGAGAAGGGAGGCGACCAGACUGGAGACCAGCACAGAUGUGCCAGGACCCGGCCCGGCAUCCGCCCCAUCAUGCCUCGUGCCAGCCCCCCAGGGGACCCUGAAUGAGAUGUGAAUGUGCCCAGUGUGCGAAAUAUGUACAGUGUCAUAAUAAAAAUGUGCUGAGCGUGUGAAGUAAGAGGCUAGACUCCUGCGGGCCCGGCCAGGUCCGACUGGCUGGAAGACCACAGGGGAAAGGGGGGCAUCCCCCCCCCCACAUCGACCACCACCCCGCAAACAGUACAGGGCACAGAAGGCGCACCUCCCCAAGGCGGGAGGCACCAACACCCUACCAUAGGCCCCAAAGUCUGCCGGGGACCCCUCACAGCCCGUGCGAGAGAGGGGGUGACGACCACGGCGCAGCGCUCCGGGAAGAGGGAAGAGGAGGACACAGGCCCGGGGUGCAGCAGCACGGCCCCCCCAACCCAGAGACAAGGAUGAGGCCCCCAGAGGUUUUUCUGAGUUAUUUUCUAGAUUUUGCCAUUGGUUAAUGUUUAUAGCUCGUUUAUCUUUCCAGUUUAACAAUAUUGUUAUUUUAGCGAUUGCUAGAAUUACAAGUAUUGGUUGAGCAUGUUUAUUUGGUAGAUGUAUACCUUUUCAAUCAUCCAAUAGACAAAGAUUAGGAGAAAUUGGAAUCCUACAGUUCAAAACUGGAUUAGCUGUAAUUACUGUUGUUGGUUUUUUUGUCAUUGAGAAUGUAUUUCUGCAGAUUUGCGCCCUGUAUUUAUUGUCAAUAGACACUGAGAUACUUUAGGGAUUAUUGUUCUUACUUUAUAGUUUUGAAGGAAGUUACCACCUCUAAUUUGACAUUCUUGGCACAAGAUUUCUUGGCACAUUUCAUGAAUGCAUUAUUUUUUAAUAAGUGAUAUAGUCGGUCAGUUCCACUUUGUUCCCAUGUGCUGCAGUAAAGGGGUAUUUUGUUAAUCUCAAAUUUGGUAUUGUGCCACAUUGGGAAGGAAUAAUAUGGUGCUGAUUGAGAUUGUAUGGUUUCUAGACUUUUCCAACAAGCUGAUAAAGUGGCUGCAAUAAUCAGAUUGAUAAAACAAUUCUGGUGUCAACUUGUGCUGAUAAAUGUGAGGUCUGAAAGUUUGGUGCUAUUGCAAUCAAUCUGUUCUAGUUCCAGCCAAGAUUGUUGUUCAACAAUUGGAUGUAACCAUUUAAUGAGGUGCUGUAUUUGGCUAGCUAAGUAAUAGUGUUUGAAGUUUUACCUUUCUGAAGGGUAGGUAGGCUAAUUCUAUUUUUCUUAUUUUUAGAAUCAGAAUCAUCUUUAUUUGCCAAGUAUGUCCAAAACACAGAAGGAAUUUGUCUCCGGUAGUUGGAGCCGCUCUAGUACAACAGACAGUCAAUUUACAGAACACUUUGGAGACAUAAAGACAUUGACAAAAAACAAUUGUACAAAAAGAUGCAGAGUCCUCUAGCACUUAGAGCAGUUCGAAUGACUAAUAUUGCAAUAGUCCGGUGCAAUGACCAUUGUGCAAAGGGCGCUGAGACUUCAAGGAGUGUAUGCGGUUUAAAGAGACGAGUAAUGAACAAAAUAAUAAAUUCUUCAUUAUAGGCCUGCGCGAAGCACCGAAGCAAGCAUCCCUUGUUACUGUCCUGCAUAUUUAUUAUUUAUGAAUACUUAUUGUGCCGUUUUUUUUUUGUGCUCGAAUUUUGCAUGCCCAUUUAACGUAUCCGCACAAAUGAGGUACCAAAAGUCUAUUUUUGGAUCCGGUUUACUGUUAUUUAUUCCCAUUUUUGUGAAUUUGGAAGUCAGUUUAUUUGCACCUAGAGUGAAUUCUUGCCUCUGCUUCCAAACCCAGUUGUCACUUACAAUCCAGUCUUAUACAUUCAUACUUUUACACAUUCACACGAUAUUAGUAACGUUUUUAUAAACACACGAAAACACGGAAACACAGAAACACGGAAUUUAAGUACAUACAGGACCCCGCCGUCCUCGCGGAAUUUGUCGGACUCCGCUGUCCUUCUGACCACUUGCCAGUGACUAGUAUUACACAAGGUUUAUUCUGCCGCAGACUUCUUCGUCGCGCAAUUCACUCACUCUUUAAUCCUUUUUUCCCAAAUUUUUUUUUAAAAUUUAACUCACCACUCGUCUUCAAUCCUGUGGAUUGUCGUCAACCUUCAGAUCCCAGUUGAGGAGAACGAAGACCAGUCCCGUAAAGGGUCUUACUUGCUGUGGCCACGGUCUCUUAACUGGAAGUCGGCUCCACAACUGGAAUCCUCGGGUGUGUUGACAUCCGGCUCGAAGGACCAAUUUAAUGUUAGAUUUAUCUUACCCAACAUUAUAAAAAAUAGACACAAAAGGAAUGAAGACACUGGUUUCUUUUUCUCAUGAGGAGGGCGUAUGGGAGAUUGUUCAGAUCACAGUCUCUCAACACGCUCUAAACAAUCUCUCCUGUCGCUCCUGCAUUUAUUUGAAAAUAAGGAGGUUUCUAAGUUUACAAGACAUAACGCACUAAGCUACAAGACACAACACAAAACAUUGGACCAACACCUGUCACGUCCCCGACCACAUCCGAUCACGUCCUUGGUCCAGGCGCCCUUCCAUCGGAUGAUGCUGAGUCAUCUUUUUGAAGGCGAGACAUCUAAAAUCGUCCAUAAUACUAAUGCAAGCUAAGCAAAUAAAUGAUAACUUCUACAAUUUAUUUAACAGUCAGACCGGUAGUGAUGGGAAUUGAAAACCAUUUCCUGUUGAUAACCGGUUCCAAAGCAAAUGAUUCCUUGGAAUCGUUCGCCAAAUUCCCAAGCGGUUCACUGAUUGAUUCUGGUAAGAAUAAUGAAUCGGCCUGCGCAAUGCGUGAACCAUCUCCCAUUCAUGGAAAACUUGGUCUGCAAGUGGUAGUAACUCAUUCCCUGCCAAUGCCGUCCAAAGACGUCAUUCAGAAUCCAUCUAUUCCCUGCCAAUGCCGUCUAAAGACAUCAAUGGCAUUUUUUUUAAACAGCGAUGGGUGGGGGAGGGUCUUGUGCAGUUUAUGUGUGAUCGUCGAGCCUCUGGAUAACUGCAAUGAGGAUUGGCACCCUGUAGAGGGCAACAAUGCCUUCAGCUGAACGUCCUUCCCUCAGAGGAAGAAGAGGAAGAAGAAGGAGGGGGCGGGCCGGUGGGUACAAGAGACAUUGAGAGAAGGCAAACACAAUGGUAGAAAAGAGAAAAGGAAAAAUGAAAAAAAUCUAACAAAAAACCUUUCAGUACUAGAAAUGUGUUGGGCCAAGGCAAGAAAAAUAUUCCUGCGACCGACAGGAAUGACGCCUUAGAUCAGGAAUAAAGGAUGACGCGCCGAGUCAGACUGACACUCCGAGCGAUCGCUUUGUUGCAAAGCUAUCUCGCAAAAUGCCGGCCCAUACAUAUGGCGAGAUCCUCCCAGCCGCUUACUAGCUGAUCGUCUCUCAGCCAGGAUUUUAGUAAAUGGGAUCUGGAAUCGUGAUGAAUGAAGUCCGUCUGGAUAGCCACCCGAACUUCAUCCCGAGCUUCGGCCGACGAAAACGAAGGUAACUCGUUUGCAGCUCGCGUUAGCUACAUUUAGCGAGCAAACACGCUCCUUCAGUCCUUGUUACAUAAAAACAUAAUUUGGUCCCACUAGUUCACAUUACAAUGUAACAUCUGUUGCCAGUACUGAUUUCAAUGUUCCAUUUCGUCCAUCUUGCAGGAAUUCAACUCCCGCAAGUCGAACGUCUUUUACGAUUGCGACAAAGAAAAGUUAUGCAUCCAGCAGACGUUCGACCCCCAUUCCAGUACGCAGUGCAGACAAUAACGGGACUGUAAUUUCUCGUGUAUAAUUCGCGUUUUUCCCCCCAAAAAAUUGGCACUAGUCAAUAGUGCGCAUUAUACAUAGGUAUAGGUGCAAAUGGAAAAACUUCACAUUUUAUAAAUGUAUGCCGCCAUCUAGUGGUUAUGAAAAAGCUGUACACUUUAUUUCCAAAAUUCCACCACCACAUAAAAAAAGUGUAGCCUACACUUUCAUUCCAAUAUGACAGGGGUACGUAUGACUGCAUAUAAGUACAGUUGUGCUGAUAAGUUUACAUACCCUGGCAGAAUUUGUGACAUCCAUCCAAUAUUUUUUUAUAUUAAUAUUAUUUAUAUCAUAUUUAUAUUUAUUUAUAUUUAUAUUAUAUUGUUUUAUAUGACUGAUGACUGAACAAGAACCAUUAUUAAUUUCUUUAUGGUUAUGUUUUAUUUAAUGAUAAUGCUUUUCUGAGAUGCUUGACCGUUUAAUUUGAAUCCCAUUAAAAUAAAAUUAAGUGUUUCGCCUGGUCCUUCAUGUUUUCUUUAAAGAAUUGUACCCAUGUUACAAAUUUUGCCUGGGUAAUCAAACAUGAGCACAACUGUGUUUUCUAAUUUAUUAAAUAAAACUAGCGCUGUGAAUUUCAAAAUAAGAGCAAGUAAAUUUAAAAAAGGAUUACAUGUUGAAAUAAAGUGCUUAACUUCAGAAUAAUUCUUUAAAAAAAAAAACUAACAAAAUACAGAUAAUACUUAAUGUUUUGAUCAUAUGGGUAGAAGCAGAAUCAUACAUUGUAAAAAUGCAUUAUACAUAGGUAGAAGGGUUUUCCAGAAUUUUGAGGUCAACUUCGGGGGUGCGUAUUAUAAAUGGGUGCGCAUUAUACACGAGAAAUUACGGUAAUUGAAAGCUUUUUUUUCUCCACGUCCCACGACAGCAAUUUCAACAAUGUAUUUUUUUAGUAAUAGUUCUGUUUUUAAACUGCACAGGUCGUGCUUCAAGAAGAAGUAGGGACUAGUUUCAAGGACAAUGACAACCACACAAGAUCACAUUCACCGCCACCAAAGAAUAAAAUCCAUAUGUGGAUCAAACUUUGCUAGAUUUUAUGCACAAGGUAAUAAAAACCUGGACUAUUGAGCAAAUGGUAGAGGAGGAGAAUUUGGAUAAAAAAAGUGUGGGACACCCAUUUGUUCAUGCAUUUUUGUCUAAUGUAAAUUCUGUACAGUUAUACUUGUAAAUAAAUUAUUUUUCUGUCAAAAGUACUUUUUCAGUGUUGUUUUAUGUUCAGAUGUUUGAGAUUUUCACAAAAGAAAACAAAUAUUUGUCAGUAAUUGUUCUGCUUGAUGUCUGCUUUCACAAAAAGGCUGUUUUCUCAGUUUUUUCCCUCCAGAAACAGAUUUGCCUGAAAGUAGCCUAUAUUUGACUGCUGAUUACUAAAGAAAGGUGUAAGCUGGAGACAAACUUUUUCUGAUGAAAGAAGAAAGUCUGAUCUUUCUUUUGGUGGUUUUGGUGUUUACAUAGUCCUAAUACACAAUAUUCUGCGGGGCUUGAUAAAUGAGUGAAAUUGCUCCAAAAUGCCUGGCAGUCUCGGGGUUCCCUGCUCAGGAAAGGGCUGGCAGUUAAUGAGUUAAUAGGCUUGACCACUCUCACCAUUCUGAGUAAGUAAGGGUGCCAGAUCGCCACCAAAGGCAGCAAUAGUUUAACUAUAUAAGACCAAAACAAAUACGUAAAUGACUGAAAAAUGACACCACUUUAACUACUAAACCGUUUUUACUAGACUUUACGCCGAUCUGAUCGGUGUUAUCGGUAUUGGACAUUUUAUGCUGAUCGGCUGAUCGGAUUUCAUGUCAUAGGUCGCCAAUCCGAUCAAUGAUGUCAUCGAUUGGCUCCACACAAGACAUUUAACUCCGCGUCUUCGUCGCGUAUGAAUCCAAAAGCUAGUUUAUUUUUAGCCUAGUCACGUGUCUUGUUGCGCAGUACUGUAACUAUCUGACGGCCAAUAAAGUUUUUUCAAUCCUGUCUGUGAAAAAACACGUCAUCCGUGUGGGACUAUUUUGCGGUGUCUCAAACAAAUAAGUUAUUUGCAGUCUGUGCACAACUGAACUACGUCGUGGGGAACGUCAUCGAAAUGCUUCAACACAACAAAUUUGAUCGAGCGCCUGAAGAAUGUACACGAGGAGCAUGCCGCAUUCAAGCAACGCAGCGUGGGGAGGGGAGAGUCAAAGUAUUAAAGUAAUUUAAUUGCAGUAAGUUAGCACCCAUUAUUUCUGUCAUUUAAUGUUGAUUUGACCUAAAUUUAUGUCAGUGGCCAAUCUUGUAUGCCCCCUAGAGGUCAUUGGUGUUUUAACUUUUGUCUAAAAUGCUAGAGAAUAAUUUGAGCCGGGAUGGGCUCCGCAACCCUUGUGAGGAUAAGCUGUACAGAAAAUGGAUGGAUACAGUAUACAGUGCACAAGUAUAUACAAUAAAUGAACAAGACACAUUGCUCCAUCUUGUGAUCGGAUUGGUGAUCGGUUAUCGUAUUUUUUAAACUUGCUGAUCUGUGAUCGGCCCCAAAAAUCCUGAUUGUGUAAAGCCUAGUUUUUACAAAAUAACACAAAGAUGCAUUUUAACACAGUCAAAACGUGAUACAGUAAUUUUAACUAUAGCAAUUUUUCAGCUGUUACGCUAAAAUCCGACCUGCCAGAAACUGCGACCGGAAGUUACCAUGACGUUAUCCAACUGGCGUUUUUUAAAUUUUAUUUUAUUAAUAUACUGUAAUUUCUCGAUUAUAACAUACACCUUUUCUUUUAAAUAAGGUCUGUUUUUCGGGUGCGUGUUACAAAUUCAUCCAAUCAAACAACGACUAAAUAAGACAUGCCCCUUUUGAGCCCCUUUUGAGCUGUGCGGUGACGCUAACCUUGGUGGGUCAAUGUCGUCAGUGCAUUUCAUGUGUGGACGGCAAGAAAACCGAAAGAGCACGGAUGCCAGUGCAUUAUGCUGCAUACGCAGAGGUGGGAAGUAACGUAAAGUACUUUGUUACUGUAUAUAAGGAGAUUUUUCAGGUAUUUGUACUUAUUUAUUUUCUGGCGACUUUUUACUUUUACUCCUUACUUUUUAAACAGAAAUAUUUUUACUUUCUGUUCCUUAUCUUUUAAAAAUGAGUUCAUUACUUUGAAAACCUAAAUUUACCAACGACGCAACGUAAAAAUUUGAUUUAAGUAAGGGAGUGGCACCAGUACUUUGACUAGGGUUGUUUUUUUGCACAGUACUUUCAGUACUUUUACGUAAGUACUGAUACUUGUGCAAAAAAGACCAGUACUUUUGACAUCUCUGUGCAUAUGGUUGCAUACAGCACCUUAACAAUUACGAACGUCGACCUUCCAAAAUGGCUGCCACAUAGGCACGUCGGAUAGCUGUCCUGCUAUAGUGUGCUGACCUUUCUCAUCUCUAUAUCAACGGGGGACACAAAAUAGCUGAGCUGAGAUUGGUGGAAGACAUCGGCAUGUUGAUAGCUGCUGUCUGAUUGGUCACUACACUACAACUGAGAGUGCUCUGCCGCGGCUGUGAUAUGAAAUCAUUGCUUCAAGUAAUAUUGUCAGCAGGUGUCAGCUGAUCGAGUAUAAUUGUGCAACAGUAAAGCAACCUUGAAACUGCCGGUAAAAGUAAGUUUUUCACCAGCAUUCAAAAGAAAAGUGAUUGCAUUGGGCAACAGAGAAGGUAGUAGCAAAUUACAUCAAUGAGAAAAUGUAGGAAGCUGCAGAAAGCAAUACAUAGAGACUUUCUGAGUCAGAUUCUGACUCAUCAUUCAAUGUUUUUUAGGGGCAGAGCAAUUAAAGAAACAAAUGAUACAAAAGACAAAUUCUAAUAAUCUGUUAUUAUAGUGUUGUUCAAAUGAGGAUGAUAAAUCCGAUGACAAAUAGAACCACUUGUAUGGUAAUCCAUAAAUUUAUUGCUCACCUUCAAAGAAUGUUCAAAGUUCCACGUCCAUUUGAGAGAGAAAAUCGUGUAUUUGUUGUGAAAAUACUGAAAUUUCAUUUACUAAAACUUUGAAUAACGUAUUAUUAUUUUUGUUGUUGUCUGAGGGAGUAAGGGGCGGCACGGUGGCCGACUGGUUAGAGCAUCAGCCUCACAGUUCUGAGGUGCGGGGUUCAAUCCCCGUCCCCGCCUGUGUGGAGUUUGCAUGUUCUCCCCGUGCCUGCGUGGGUUUUCUCCGGGCACUCCGGUUUCCUCCCACAUCCCAAAAACAUGCAUUAAUUGGAGACUCUAAAUUGCCCGUAGGCAUGACUGUGAGUGCGAAUGG
RNA transcript from Phyllopteryx taeniolatus (common seadragon), 11103 nucleotides. It is a transcript of the gene named LLGL scribble cell polarity complex component 2, with no coding region annotated. The transcript is spliced from 17 exons. The record is from RefSeq and is a predicted model, not a curated record. Lineage: Eukaryota; Metazoa; Chordata; Actinopteri; Syngnathiformes; Syngnathidae.